GACGAACGCUGGCGGCAGGCCUAACACAUGCAAGUCGAGCGGACCUUUCGGGGUCAGCGGCGGACGGGUGAGUAACGCGUGGGAAUAUGCCCUUCUCUACGGAAUAGUCCUGGGAAACUGGGGGUAAUACCGUAUACGCCCUUUGGGGGAAAGAUUUAUCGGGGAAGGAUUAGCCCGCGUUGGAUUAGGUAGUUGGUGGGGUAAUGGCCUACCAAGCCGACGAUCCAUAGCUGGUUUGAGAGGAUGAUCAGCCACACUGAGACUGAGACACGGCCCAGACUCCUACGGGAGGCAGCAGUGGGGAAUCUUAGACAAUGGGGGCAACCCUGAUCUAGCCAUGCCGCGUGAGUGAUGAAGGCCUUAGGGUUGUAAAGCUCUUUCAGCUGGGAAGAUAAUGACGGUACCAGCAGAAGAAGCCCCGGCUAACUCCGUG
This 433-nucleotide ribosomal RNA is filed under the name uncultured bacterium. RNAcentral describes it as "partial 16S ribosomal RNA". It matches the Rfam family "Bacterial small subunit ribosomal RNA", at positions 28 to 507 of the family's 1533-position model. The record is from RNAcentral.